RNAcentral lists this long non-coding RNA (1212 nucleotides) under Oryza sativa aromatic subgroup. RNAcentral describes it as "lncRNA OsARC_10g0016170". Lineage: Eukaryota; Viridiplantae; Streptophyta; Magnoliopsida; Poales; Poaceae. The record is from RNAcentral.
GCCCCUCUUGGUCAUAGAAUCGAACAUCUUUCUAGCUUCCGUGCAUCUUCCGUUCUUGCAAAGAUAAUCCAUGAGCGAGUUAUAAGUAACAACAUCUGGUUCGACACCAUCACUAUCCCCCUCCUUGAAGAAGCCAUUGAUGACAGUGGUAUACGACACCACAUCAGGUGGGCAGUCACCUCCAUCAUCAGGCAUCAUUUGGAGCAGCUCGAGAGCUUCUUGGCUUCUGUUCUCAUCACACAGCCCCUUGAGAAGAAUAUUGUAGGAGAAGACAUUUGGUAUGCAGCCAAGCUGGGUCAUUCUGCGGAGCACUAUGUCCAUUGCGUCGCUCGUCCUCUUGUCAGCACAGAGGCCCUUGAGCAGAGGAGUGAAGGCGAUGGCGUCCACUCUAAAUCCCUUCUUAAUGACAUUGCCCAAGGCCGCGAAACCGAGGUCCAAGCGGCCCGCGCAGCAGCAGGAACCGAUGAGAAUGCCGUAGGUGCACAAGUUGGGAGUUACCUCGUCGGCGCCGGCUCGGGCCAUGCGGUUGUAGCGGGACACGGCGGCCGCGGGGCUGUGACGCGCGACGUCGGCGAGGGCGCAGUUCAAGCCGUAGAUCGAGGCGCCCCUGCCACGCCGGAGCAAUUCGUCGAACACGUGGCGUGCGUCCUCGGCGCCACUGCCCCCCCGCGACGGCCGUGGCUCGCUGGUGCCAGCGCGAGCUGUCCCAUGGCGCGGCCAGGCCUCGGUAGCCGGGCGGCCGUCGCGGUGCCCUUAGCGGCCAGCUGGGCGGCGCGACGCAGCCAGGAGGGGCGCGGAGACCAGGCAAAGGGGGUGCAGGUGGGUGGCGCCGGAGCCGGAGCGACAGCGUAUCCGGCAUUGGCGCAGGCCCAGAUGGUAGUGCAAAGGGAGCUGGAGUCGAUGGGUUGUCUUCCUCGUUGCCGGUCGGCACCCUCGCCCUUCCUAGAGCUCAUCCCCUUCUUUUGCGGGGAGUUUCUAGGUUGGAUUGAGACAGCAGCUCGCCAGCGGGGGAAGCUCAGGCUGCCGAAGCAAUGUCACCCAGUCCCGGGUUCUCCUUUGGCCAAAACUGGCAAGGCGGCCGGCGGGUGGUGGAACGGAGGGGUCCUGGGCCAGCUCUCAGGGAUGGUGGUUCGAUGGAGUCGGCCGACGAAGGGGCGUCGGUGCGGUGUGGUGGAAGCUACGUGCUACCUUUUGUCUGUGUGGUGGUUCUGA